This is a long non-coding RNA of Nerophis ophidion (straightnose pipefish), 692 nucleotides long. RefSeq lists it as uncharacterized. The record is from RefSeq and is a predicted model, not a curated record. The transcript is spliced from 4 exons. Lineage: Eukaryota; Metazoa; Chordata; Actinopteri; Syngnathiformes; Syngnathidae.
UGCCCAGCUGGGACUGGUUAUCUCAUCACCUGUCGUCUUUAUUAGCAGCAGCCGGUCUGAGACACAUUGUUGGAGUUGGAGACAGAGAGAAAGAGAGAGAGCACGAACAGAGAACUUGCCUUUUAGUAGUUUUUGGGGCUUUGUACACUUGAAGCUUUUCCUGGCCGACACACGACUUUGAAUGAUGGCGUCGGAGGACAAUUUGUGCGUUUGACUUCCUCCAGGCGACGACGCCCACAUCCAACAAAGCGGUGCAGAGAGCGCCGCUUGAGUCGUCAGGCUGAGAAUUUGCAGAAUGCCUCUCUUGGCGACAAGGACAGGUCAAAGGUCACUGCCUGCAGAUGUAAAGUCAGUACAGGAGUGAGGAAACUUGAACUGGGAGUAAACUCUGGCUGGAAUGAUGACCCAUGUUUUGAAAGUGAGGAAUGAAGAGCGUGAUUGGCGAGGACUACGGAGAUCACGGUCAGAGCAUGCGGGAUUUAAUCAAGACGAGAGGGUGAGAGAGGGAGGUUCUCUUCCUGGGCGCUUGAGCAUCGACAUCAUCAUCGUCAUCCUGGAGAACAGUAGGGUUCUGUAAAUGUUUAAUGCUUUCCAAACAGUGUCUGUGACAAGGCAGUAAAACGGCUGAUCAAAGAAAACAGAAGUCCUGGUCAUGGACCCACAAGCUUGACAGACUGAAUAAGUCGGUGAAU